GCUAAUACCGGAUAACAACAGAUGAUGCCUAUCAACUGUUUAAAAGAAUGGUUCUGCUAUCACUCUUGGAUGGACCUGCGGUGCAUUAGCUAGUUGGUAGGGUAACGGCCUACCAAGGCGAUGAUGCAUAGCCGAGUUGAGAGACUGAUCGGCCACAUUGGGACUGAGACACGGCCCAAACUCCUACGGGAGGCAGCAGA
Molecule: ribosomal RNA, 200 nt
Filed under: uncultured Lactobacillus sp.
Lineage: Bacteria; Bacillati; Bacillota; Bacilli; Lactobacillales; Lactobacillaceae
Description: partial 16S ribosomal RNA
Rfam family: Bacterial small subunit ribosomal RNA
Source: RNAcentral